GGUGGCUCAGUGGUAGAGUGCUUGCCUAGCAUGCAUGAAGCCCUGGGUUCCAUUCCUCAGCACCA
Dipodomys ordii (Ord's kangaroo rat) is the source of this 65-nucleotide non-coding RNA. The record is from Rfam. NCBI's taxonomy places the organism in Eukaryota, Metazoa, Chordata, Mammalia, Rodentia, Heteromyidae.